Molecule: ribosomal RNA, 190 nt
Filed under: uncultured bacterium
Lineage: Bacteria
Description: partial 16S ribosomal RNA
Rfam family: Bacterial small subunit ribosomal RNA
Source: RNAcentral
ACUCCUACGGGAGGCAGCAGUGAGGAAUAUUGGUCAAUGGACGCAAGUCUGAACCAGCCAUGCCGCGUGCAGGAAGAAGGUCCUCUGGAUUGUAAACUGCUUUUGUCCGGGAAUAAAUCUGUCUUAAGAGGCAGUUGAAGGUACCGGGAGAAUAAGCACCGGCUAACUCCGUGCCAGCAGCCGCGGUAAU